GUGACGGGAGCCGCCGGGCGCUGAGGCCGCGGGAGGGUUGGGGGCUGCGGCCUGAGUGGGAGAGGGGAACAGGUCAGCGCCGACCCUGAGCCUCGGCAAACACCCAUGGUUCCAGACGUCCGAAGACACAGAAAUGCUCAAGAUACGCACAGAGGAGCCAGGCGUGGUGGAGCACACCUAUAACCCCACUACUUGGGAGGCUGGGCCUGAAGGAUCAUGUGUUUGAGGCCAUUUCGAGCUACAUACCGAGUUCAAGUUACAGGCCCAACAAUAUCUGUACCAGGCUGGGAGGUGUGAUCACCCAGUGGCAGAGUGCUUGCCUAGCCUGCCUAACGCCCUGCGUUGGGAUCCCCAGCUUCCGAAAACAAAAAGAUGGCUUAUUGUUGGUUUCCUCUCCCACAGGCCUGACCACUGCAGCUCCCGCCUGUCCUCUAAAGAACUCUAGAUGACAAACUUCUUCCACCAUAUUUCUGGGAACUCUGCUUCUCCCAGGUGAAGACACAGUAGGCAGCCAUCUACAAGCCAAGAACCUUUAGCAGGAGCCGAAUUGGACAGCAUCUUGAUUUUGGACUCCAGUUUACAGAACUGUGAGAAAUAAAUUUCUGCUGUUACAGCCACCCAGUCAGUAAUAUUUUGUUAUGGAAGUCCAAGAUGAUUAUGACAAGAAAUAAAGGUGCCACAAACAGUUUUUUACAAGUCUUCGUGUAGACAUAUGCUGAGUAAAUACUCAGAAUGGCUGGAUGUUUUGUGUAUAUUUAACUUUUUUUUUUU
This is a long non-coding RNA of Heterocephalus glaber (naked mole-rat), 771 nucleotides long. NCBI's taxonomy places the organism in Eukaryota, Metazoa, Chordata, Mammalia, Rodentia, Bathyergidae. The record is from Ensembl.